AGAACGAACGCUGGCGGCAUGCCUAAUACAUGCAAGUCGAACGAGAUCUUCGGGUCUAGUGGCGCACGGGUGCGUAACGCGUGGGAAUCUACCCUUGGGUUCGGAAUAACAGUUGGAAACGACUGCUAAUACCGGAUGAUGACGAAAGUCCAAAGAUUUAUCGCCCAAGGAUGAGCCCGCGUAGGAUUAGCUAGUUGGUGAGGUAAAGGCUCACCAAGGCUACGAUCCUUAGCUGGUCUGAGAGGAUGAUCAGCCACACUGGGACUGAGACACGGCCCAGACUCCGUACGGAGGCAGCAGGU
Molecule: ribosomal RNA, 302 nt
Filed under: uncultured soil bacterium
Lineage: Bacteria
Description: bacterial SSU rRNA
Rfam family: Bacterial small subunit ribosomal RNA
Source: RNAcentral